This 279-nucleotide ribosomal RNA is filed under the name uncultured bacterium. RNAcentral describes it as "partial 16S ribosomal RNA". It matches the Rfam family "Bacterial small subunit ribosomal RNA", at positions 506 to 784 of the family's 1533-position model. The record is from RNAcentral.
UGCCAGCCGCCGCGGUAAUACGGAGGGUGCGAGCGUUGUCCGGAAUUAUUGGGUUUAAAGGGUGCGUAGGCGGCUUAAUAAGUCAGAGCUGAAAUCCCACCGCUUAACGGUGGAACUGGCUUUGAUACUGUUGAGCUUGAGUACAGAUGAGGUAGGCGGAAUUCAUGAUGUAGCGGUGAAAUGCAUAGAUAUCAUAAAGAACACCGAUUGCGAAGGCAGCUUACUGGGCUGUAACUGACGCUGAGGCACGAAAGCGUGGGUAGCGAACAGGAUUAGAUA